AGGACGAACGCUGGCGGCGUGCUUAACACAUGCAAGUCGAGCGGAAAGGCCCUUCGGGGUACUCGAGCGGCGAACGGGUGAGUAACACGUGAGCAACCUGCCCUUAGCUCUGGGAUAGCUCCGGGAAACCGGAAUUAAUACCGGAUACGACCUAGGCCGACAUCGGCCAUGGUGGAAAGUUUUUCGGCUAGGGAUGGACUCGCGGCCUAUCAGCUAGUUGGUGGGGUAACGGCCUACCAAGGCGACGACGGGU
RNAcentral lists this ribosomal RNA (253 nucleotides) under uncultured bacterium. RNAcentral describes it as "partial small subunit ribosomal RNA". It matches the Rfam family "Bacterial small subunit ribosomal RNA", at positions 26 to 284 of the family's 1533-position model. The record is from RNAcentral.